Molecule: ribosomal RNA, 735 nt
Filed under: uncultured Fusobacterium sp.
Lineage: Bacteria; Fusobacteriati; Fusobacteriota; Fusobacteriia; Fusobacteriales; Fusobacteriaceae
Description: bacterial SSU rRNA
Rfam family: Bacterial small subunit ribosomal RNA
Source: RNAcentral
GAUGAACGCUGACAGAAUGCUUAACACAUGCAAGUCAACUUGAAUUUGGGUUUUUAACUUAGAUUUGGGUGGCGGACGGGUGAGUAACGCGUAAAGAACUUGCCUCACAGCUAGGGACAACAUUUAGAAAUGAAUGCUAAUACCUGAUAUUAUGAUUUUAAGACAUCUUAGAAUUAUGAAAGCUAUAAGCACUGUGAGAGAGCUUUGCGUCCCAUUAGCUAGUUGGAGAGGUAACAGCUCACCAAGGCGAUGAUGGGUAGCCGGCCUGAGAGGGUGAACGGCCACAAGGGGACUGAGACACGGCCCUUACUCCUACGGGAGGCAGCAGUGGGGAAUAUUGGACAAUGGACCGAGAGUCUGAUCCAGCAAUUCUGUGUGCACGAUGAAGUUUUUCGGAAUGUAAAGUGCUUUCAGUUGGGAAGAAACAAAUGACGGUACCAACAGAAGAAGUGACGGCUAAAUACGUGCCAGCAGCCGCGGUAAUACGUAUGUCACGAGCGUUAUCCGGAUUUAUUGGGCGUAAAGCGCGUCUAGGUGGUUAUGUAAGUCUGAUGUGAAAAUGCAGGGCUCAACUCUGUAUUGCGUUGGAAACUGUAUAACUAGAGUACUGGAGAGGUAAGCGGAACUACAAGUGUAGAGGUGAAAUUCGUAGAUAUUUGUAGGAAUGCCGAUGGGGAAGCCAGCUUACUGGACAGAUACUGACGCUAAAGCGCGAAAGCGUGGGUAGCAAACAGG